GCGUGAAGGGGCGGGGGCGGGGGACCCCCUGGGCUGGAGGCCCCGCCAUUGGAGGGGCUGAUGGCAGAGCGAGGGAGCUGGGGGCGGGGGGGUCAUCCAGGGCCAGGCUCCACCUGAGAUGCGUGUUGCUCAGCCCCGGACGGACGCGGGCGCCUCGCCAGGGAAGAAGCUGGGCACUCGGGCGCGGCCCCUUUAAGGCUGCUCCUGCCCGCUGGGGGCGAUGAGGAGCUGGCAGCGGCCGAGGAGCCAGGCGCAGCCCGACAGCCCCAGAGCGGAUCCCGGCAUGGAGCUGACACAGCAGCCUGUGCCAGCUUUGCCCACCCAAAUACACCCCACUGCCAUCAGACCAGGCACCUGGGUCUGAAAAUCUGGCCCCAGGCAUGCGUGGAGAGAGAUUCCCUGUGGCGGGGGAGAAUUCUAGCCAGGAGAACGUCUGCGUCCAGUGGUAUCCCUGCCAAAAACAACCCUGCAGAAAUACAACUCUUGGCUGGCUGGCUUUCCCUGAGAUGAUCUGAAGAGGAGCUGGA
RNAcentral lists this long non-coding RNA (527 nucleotides) under Chrysemys picta bellii (western painted turtle). RNAcentral's name for it is "lncRNA (ENSCPBG00000019202.1)". Lineage: Eukaryota; Metazoa; Chordata; Testudines; Emydidae. The record is from RNAcentral.